This 440-nucleotide ribosomal RNA is filed under the name uncultured bacterium. RNAcentral describes it as "partial 16S ribosomal RNA". It matches the Rfam family "Bacterial small subunit ribosomal RNA", at positions 338 to 795 of the family's 1533-position model. The record is from RNAcentral.
CCUACGGGGGUCAGCAGUGGGGGAUAUUGCACAAUGGGGGAAACCCUGAUGCAGCGACGCCGCGUGUGGGAAGACGGUCCUCUGGAUUGUAAACCACUUUCCCCAGGGACUAAGAUGACGGUACCUGGGGAGGAAGCUCCGGCUAACUACGUGCCAGCCGCCGCGGGAAUACGUAGGGAGCGAGCGUUGUCCGGAAUUACUGGGUGUAAGGGGAGCGUAGGCGGGGAUGCAAGUUGGGUGGCAAAACUACCGGCUCAACUGGUAGUCGCACUCAAAACUGCAGCUCUUGAGUGAAGUAGAGGCAGGCGGAAUUCCUAGUGUAGCGGUGAAAUGCGUAGAUAUUAGGAGGAACACCAGUGGCGAAGGCGGCCUGCUGGGCUUUUACUGACGCUGAGGCUCGAAAGUGUGGGGAGCAAACAGGAUUAGAUACCCGAGUAGUC